GAUGAACGCUGGCGGCGUGCCUAAUACAUGCAAGUCGAGCGAACGGACGAGAAGCUUGCUUUUCUGAUGUUAGCGGCGGACGGGUGAGUAACACGUGGAUAACCUACCUAUAAGACUGGGAUAACUUCGGGAAACCGGAGCUAAUACCGGAUAAUAUUUUGAACCGCAUGGUUCAAAAGUGAAAGACGGUCUUGCUGUCACUUAUAGAUGGAUCCGCGCUGCAUUAGCUAGUUGGUAAGGUAACGGCUUACCAAGGCAACGAUGCAUAGCCGACCUGAGAGGGUGAUCGGCCACACUGGAACUGAGACACGGUCCAGACUCCUACGGGAGGCAACAGUAGGGAAUCUUCCGCAAUGGGCGAAAGCCUGACGGAGCAACGCCGCGUGAGUGAUGAAGGUCUUCGGAUCGUAAAACUCUGUUAUUAGGGAAGAACAUAUGUGUAAGUAACUGUGCACAUCUUGACGGUACCUAAUCAGAAAGCCACGGCUAACUACGUG
RNAcentral lists this ribosomal RNA (497 nucleotides) under uncultured bacterium. Its description in RNAcentral is "partial 16S ribosomal RNA". It matches the Rfam family "Bacterial small subunit ribosomal RNA", at positions 28 to 507 of the family's 1533-position model. The record is from RNAcentral.